This 388-nucleotide ribosomal RNA is filed under the name uncultured bacterium. RNAcentral's name for it is "bacterial SSU rRNA". It matches the Rfam family "Bacterial small subunit ribosomal RNA", at positions 29 to 417 of the family's 1533-position model. The record is from RNAcentral.
AUUGAACGCUGGCGGCAUGCCUUACACAUGCAAGUCGAGCGGCAGCGCGGGGGCAACCCUGGCGGCGAGCGGCGAACGGGUGAGUAAUGCAUCGGAACGUGUCCUCUUGUGGGGGAUAACCAGUCGAAAGACUGGCUAAUACCGCAUGAGCUCGAGAGAGGAAAGCAGGGGAUCCGCAAGGACCUUGCGCGAAAGGAGCGGCCGAUGCCCGAUUAGCUAGUUGGUGGGGUAAAAGCCUACCAAGGCGACGAUCGGUAGCUGGUCUGAGAGGACGACCAGCCACACUGGGACUGAGACACGGCCCAGACUCCUACGGGAGGCAGCAGUGGGGAAUUUUGGACAAUGGGGCAACCCUGAUCCAGCCAUGCCGCGUGUGUGAAGAAGGCCU